UGAGGAAUAUUGGUCAAUGGGCGAGAGCCUGAACCAGCCAAGUAGCGUGAAGGAUGACUGCCCUAUGGGUUGUAAACUUCUUUUAUAAAGGAAUAAAGUCGGGUAUGGAUACCCGUUUGCAUGUACUUUAUGAAUAAGGAUCGGCUAACUCCGUGCCAGCAGCCGCGGUAAUACGGAGGAUCCGAGCGUUAUCCGGAUUUAUUGGGUUUAAAGGGAGCGUAGAUGGAUGUUUAAGUCAGUUGUGAAAGUUUGCGGCUCAACCGUAAAAUUGCAGUUGAUACUGGAUAUCUUGAGUGCAGUUGAGGCAGGCGGAAUUCGUGGUGUAGCGGUGAAAUGCUUAGAUAUCACGAAGAACUCCGAUUGCGAAGGCAGCCUGCUAAGCUGCAACUGACAUUGAGGCUCGAAAGUGUGGGUAUCAAACAGGAUUAGAUACCCUGGUAGUCCACACGGUAAACGAUGAAUACUCGCUGUUUGCGAUAUACUGCAAGCGGCCAAGCGAAAGCGUUAAGUAUUCCACCUGGGGAGUACGCCGGCAACGGUGAAACUCAAAGGAAUUGACGGGGGCCCGCACAAGCGGAGGAACAUGUGGUUUAAUUCGAUGAUACGCGAGGAACCUUACCCGGGCUUAAAUUGCAGAUGAAUUACGGUGAAAGCCGUAAGCCGCAAGGCAUCUGUGAAGGUGCUGCAUGGUUGUCGUCAGCUCGUGCCGUGAGGUGUCGGCUUAAGUGCCAUAACGAGCGCAACCCUUGUUGUCAGUUACUAACAGGUUCCGCUGAGGACUCUGACAAGACUGCCAUCGUAAGAUGUGAGGAAGGUGGGGAUGACGUCAAAUCAGCACGGCCCUUACGUCCGGGGCUACACACGUGUUACAAUGGGGGGUACAGAGGGCUGCUACCACGCAAGUGGAUGCCAAUCCCAAAAACCUCUCUCAGUUCGGACUGGAGUCUGCAACCCGACUCCACGAAGCUGGAUUCGCUAGUAAUCGCGCAUCAGCCACGGCGCGGUGAAUACGUUCCC
This 1017-nucleotide ribosomal RNA is filed under the name uncultured bacterium. RNAcentral describes it as "bacterial SSU rRNA". It matches the Rfam family "Bacterial small subunit ribosomal RNA", at positions 355 to 1375 of the family's 1533-position model. The record is from RNAcentral.